UUAAAUCCCAUACAUGAUCAUACAUAUAGAUAAAAACUUUAAACUUUUUCUUUCAUUCACCAAGCUUAACCUGUGCAUACUCAUACUUAUGAACAUAAACCCCACACUGGAGCCCUCAUCAAAUGCUCCAAUGGGGUAACAUAACAUAUACUAAGCUUGGUUUACGUAAAACAUCAUAAAAACAUUUCAUAGAUCAUGUGCAAAGGGAUUAACUAUACAUACUAGGGUCAAGCACAAUACUAAAC
Molecule: long non-coding RNA, 245 nt
Filed under: Manihot esculenta (cassava)
Lineage: Eukaryota; Viridiplantae; Streptophyta; Magnoliopsida; Malpighiales; Euphorbiaceae
Description: long non-coding RNA (MESC_LNC001740)
Source: RNAcentral